RNAcentral lists this long non-coding RNA (1075 nucleotides) under Callithrix jacchus (white-tufted-ear marmoset). RNAcentral's name for it is "lncRNA (ENSCJAG00000083890.1)". The record is from RNAcentral. Lineage: Eukaryota; Metazoa; Chordata; Mammalia; Primates; Cebidae.
ACACCCAGGGAAGGCUAUUUUAAUCUGGAAAAUUGCCUGCUCCUCCUGCCCACCCAAAAUAACUUGGCUCCUGCAGGAACCUGCAACAUUGUGGCUGCCAUCAGCCUAAUGAGUGCUCCAGCCCUGGCAGCCCCCAUGCCCUCACUGUGGCCAACCCCGUCCUCAGACUGGGCCUCUCCACUCAGAUUUGGAGCUCUCUGAUGCCAGGUCUGUGUCUUCUCCCUCAGACUGAAGGCUGCCUCAGGGCAGAGGCUGUGUCUCCCAUGGAUUAGGAGCUCCUGGGGUGUAAAGAUUGCAUCUCCCCACUCAGGUGCCUGGAGCCAGCUUCCUUGGGAAAUGUGGGGAUGGGGCAGGUGCCAGGUGGUUUCGCCCACUUCCAGGCUGUGCUACAGAGGAUGCCCUUGUGGAGAAACUGGAUCUCUCUCCCUCCGUGGCCACAAAUGCAUCUGGCUGAUGGGCUCAGAAAUGAGGCCAUGCUUUGUGGCUGAUGUCAAACUUCUGGUAUCAAGUGAUUCUCCUGCUUUGGCCUCCGAAGUGCUUGGAUUACAGGCAUGAACCACUUUCCCAGGCUACCAAAAACAACCAUUUUUAAGUGAGCACUUAUUAUGUCUGAGGCACUGUACUAGUGCACCCCAUCUAUGGCUAUGUUUAAACCUCACAACACCCCGUUAAGAGGCAUGUAGUUGUACAGUGAAGAGAAUACGGCCCAGAGAGGUUAAGUGACUUGCCUCAGGUCAGCAAAGAAGUAGAAUUGGCAUUCAAACCUAAGUUAGAACAGCAUUUGUCUUUUUUUAAUGAGAAAUUUUUAAAAUUCAGACAAAUGCAGAGAAUAGUACAAUGAAACUACAAGUACUGAUUACCAGGAUAGCAUAUGAACAUUUUGUUUGCUAGAUUUGCUCCAUCUUUUUUUGUGCUGAAAUAUUAAAAGUUAAUUAUAGAAAUAGCAUGUCACCUCUACUCACUUAAGAAUGCGUCUCUAAAAAAUAAACCAAAUUUUCUAUAUAAACCAGUGUGCCAUUCUUACAUUGAACAAAACAAUUUGUAAUAUCUAAUAUGCAGCUCCUGUUCAGUUCCC